CAGCAGCCGCGGGAAUACGAAGGGGGCUAGCGUUGUUCGGAUUUACUGGGCGUAAAGGGCGCGUAGGCGGACUGAUAAGUCAGGGGUGAAAUCCCAAGGCUCAACCUUGGAACUGCCUUUGAUACUGUUUGUCUUGAGUUCGAGAGAGGUAAGUGGAACUGCGAGUGUAGAGGUGAAAUUCGUAGAUAUUCGCAAGAACACCAGUGGCGAAGGCGGCUUACUGGCUCGAAACUGACGCUGAGGCGCGAAAGCGUGGGGAGCAAACAGGAUUAGAUACCCCUGUAGUCCCUGUCUCUUAUAU
RNAcentral lists this ribosomal RNA (301 nucleotides) under uncultured bacterium. RNAcentral describes it as "partial 16S ribosomal RNA". It matches the Rfam family "Bacterial small subunit ribosomal RNA", at positions 509 to 809 of the family's 1533-position model. The record is from RNAcentral.